UUUAUAAAAAGUUAAAAGUAAUAAGUAAUAGUUAAAAUCACAGUUUUACUUUGUAAAUUUUUGUGAUGCUGUUUUUCCAGAUGACUAUAAGGAAGCUAGACGUAAACUACCUCUUGCUGUUGAUCACACAGACAUUGAUCAGACCGAUGGAGGAGACUCACCAAUUACAUUUCAAAGAAAAAGAAUACCCAAGAACAUUCUUUUCCCUGGAGAAGACGACGACGAUGAUAAUGCGAUGGAAGAGCACCUGAAAGAACCAAAAUCAAGAAAAGGAAGGUAUUCUAUACCCGAUGCUCUGAAAAUUGCUAGACAUGCCAACAAAUUAGACACAGGAAAGCCAAACUGCCCUAAGAUCUUCCACAGUACUCUUGACCUCCGCAAUGAUGAGAUGGAAGGCAUUAAAGGAACAAAGUCCAAAAAAAAGAGGUAUGCCUUACCUAAUGCUCCAGUGAUCUGUAGGGAACAGAUUUCUCCUGCAGUAGACAACCUCCACCUUAGUGGCCAAGGCAGAACUGACCUUCGUCCACGCGAUCAUAGCAGUCCUGAUGUUAGCCCACA
This is a long non-coding RNA of Carassius carassius (crucian carp), 558 nucleotides long. RefSeq lists it as uncharacterized. The transcript has 4 exons. NCBI's taxonomy places the organism in Eukaryota, Metazoa, Chordata, Actinopteri, Cypriniformes, Cyprinidae. The record is from RefSeq and is a predicted model, not a curated record.